AAAUUGAAGAGUUUGAUCAUGGCUCAGAUUGAACGCUGGCGGCAGGCCUAACACAUGCAAGUCGAACGGUAACAGGAAGCAGCUUGCUGCUUCGCUGACGAGUGGCGGACGGGUGAGUAAUGUCUGGGAAACUGCCUGAUGGAGGGGGAUAACUACUGGAAACGGUGGCUAAUACCGCAUAACGUCGCAAGACCAAAGAGGGGGACCUUCGGGCCUCUUGCCAUCAGAUGUGCCCAGAUGGGAUUAGCUGGUAGGUGGGGUAACGGCUCACCUAGGCGACGAUCCCUAGCUGGUCUGAGAGGAUGACCAGCCACACUGGAACUGAGACACGGUCCAGACUCCUACGGGAGGCAGCAGUGGGGAAUAUUGCACAAUGGGCGCAAGCCUGAUGCAGCCAUGCCGCGUGUAUGAAGAAGGCCUUCGG
This 424-nucleotide ribosomal RNA is filed under the name Salmonella enterica. Its description in RNAcentral is "bacterial SSU rRNA". It matches the Rfam family "Bacterial small subunit ribosomal RNA", at positions 1 to 421 of the family's 1533-position model. The record is from RNAcentral. Lineage: Bacteria; Pseudomonadati; Pseudomonadota; Gammaproteobacteria; Enterobacterales; Enterobacteriaceae.